Molecule: ribosomal RNA, 405 nt
Filed under: uncultured bacterium
Lineage: Bacteria
Description: partial 16S ribosomal RNA
Rfam family: Bacterial small subunit ribosomal RNA
Source: RNAcentral
GACGAACGCUGGCGGCGUGCCUAAUACAUGCAAGUCGAGCGAAGCGGCGGAUGGGUGAGUAACGCGUGGGUAACCUGCCCUUAAGUCUGGGAUACUAUUUGGAAACAGAUGCUAAUACCGGAUACUAAAGGAUGGACCUGCGAUGCAUUAGCUGGUUGGUAAGGUAACGGCUUACCAAGGCGAUGAUGCAUAGCCGAGUGGGGAGGCUGAUCGGCCACAUUGGGGCGGAGAGACGGCCCAAACUCCUACGGGAAGCAGCAGUAGGGAAUCUUCCACGAUGGAAGAAAGUCUGAUGGAGCGACGCGGCGUGAGUGAAGAAGGUUUUGUGGUCGUAAAGCUCUGUUGGUGGUGAAGCAGUAAUCAACCAGACAGUCACGGCUAACUACGUGCCAGCCGCUAUAAUUC